ACUCAAAUAGUCAGGUGGCCAAGACGCUUUGAAAUUACAAGUGGGCGGGGGUUCGAUUUCUCCUUUGGGUG
Rhodocollybia butyracea is the source of this 71-nucleotide non-coding RNA. The record is from the annotation of a GenBank genome assembly. Lineage: Eukaryota; Fungi; Basidiomycota; Agaricomycetes; Agaricales; Omphalotaceae.